Dermacentor albipictus is the source of this 509-nucleotide non-coding RNA. The record is from RefSeq and is a predicted model, not a curated record. Lineage: Eukaryota; Metazoa; Arthropoda; Arachnida; Ixodida; Ixodidae.
GUUACAGGGCUGAGGAGGUCGCCAAAGAAUACUUAUGGAUCAAAAGCUUAAACCAAAAUAACUACGGUUUCUCCAGCGGACGUGACUAACAUGGCCGGCGUGCUGCGAUUGAGCUUCACUUCCUCUGGUACACAUAACGACAACACAAGUCAAGGCUAUGCUUCCGAAAAAUGGACAAAGCGCCUGUCACAAUCACCGAGACGACCACGGUGAUUCGUGCUAACAAAUCCGCUGUCGAGAAAGGUCCUUGUUCACGAAGGUAACAAGAUGUCAUAAUGGCUGCCGUCUGAAGCCGAGCGCAAAGCUGAAGUCGUGUCACACCUGAUGCCAAAAUGCAGAUGUCGUCCGCAUGGAUGGGAAGUCGCACUGCGCUUGGCAGGUUGUCAGCUAAUCCACUGAAGGUGAGAUUGGAAAGAGUCGGGCUAAGCGCUCCGCUCCGCCUUGAGGGACUCCUCGGCUACCGUAAUGCUCGGAUGUCGCACCAUUUUCUGAGUGGUCGAAGAAUGGCC